This 436-nucleotide ribosomal RNA is filed under the name uncultured bacterium. RNAcentral describes it as "bacterial SSU rRNA". It matches the Rfam family "Bacterial small subunit ribosomal RNA", at positions 1059 to 1504 of the family's 1533-position model. The record is from RNAcentral.
CUCCUGCCCUGAAGUGUUGGGUAAGUCCCGCAACGAGCGCAACCCCUAUCAUUAGUUGCCAACAGGUAAAGCUGGAACUCUAGUGAAACUGCCGUCGUAAGACGCGAGGAAGGAGGGGAUGAUGUCAAGUCAUCAUGGCCUUUAUGCCCAGGGCUACACACGUGCUACAAUGGGGUGGACAAAGGGCUGCAACACAGUGAUGUGAAGCGAAUCCCAAAAACCACUUCUCAGUUCAGAUCGGAGUCUGCAACUCAACUCCGUGAAGCUGGAAUCGCUAGUAAUCGUAUAUCAGCAAUGAUACGGUGAAUACGUUCCCGGACCUUGCACACACCGCCCGUCAAGCCAUGGGAGCCGGGUGUACCUAAAGUCGGUAACCGCAAGGAUCUGCCUAGGGUAAAAUCGGUGACUGGGGCUAAGUCGUAACAAGGUAGCCGUA